Molecule: ribosomal RNA, 327 nt
Filed under: Triticum aestivum (bread wheat)
Lineage: Eukaryota; Viridiplantae; Streptophyta; Magnoliopsida; Poales; Poaceae
Description: partial small subunit ribosomal RNA
Source: RNAcentral
AUGGCAGUAUUCCACAAGUUCUAUCACAUGCACGGAAGAAACUUCAGCGAGAUCAACACCGCGUUGAUCGCUCUGCUGCCGAAGCGCAAUGAUGCAUCAGAGAUCGGCCACUACAGACCCAUCAGCCUCAUCCACUCCAUUGCAAAGUUGAUCUCCAAAGUGCUCGCAUUAAGGCUGUCGGCUGCCCUGGAUGGAGUGAUCUUGCCGGCGCAAACGGCUUUUCAGAAAGGGAAGUGCAUCCAUGACAGCUUCCAAUCCGUGCAAGGCUGCGUGAGAAUGCUGCAUAGGGAAAAACAAGCUUUGCUCUUCAAGUUGGACUUUGCCUGA